This 407-nucleotide ribosomal RNA is filed under the name uncultured bacterium. Its description in RNAcentral is "partial 16S ribosomal RNA". It matches the Rfam family "Bacterial small subunit ribosomal RNA", at positions 28 to 526 of the family's 1533-position model. The record is from RNAcentral.
GACGAACGCUGGCGGCGUGCCUAAUACAUGCAAGUAGGACGCAGUUGCGAACGGGUGAGUAACGCGUAGGUCAAUGCCUAUUAGAGGGGGGUAACUAUUGGAAACGAUAGCUAAUACCGCAUACUAGUAGAUGGACCUGCGUUGUAUUAGCUAGUAGGUAGGGUAAUGGCCUACCUAGGCAACGAUACAUCGCCGACCUGGGAGGGUGAUCGGCCAAACUGGGAAUGUGACACGGCCCAGACUCCUACGGGAGGCAGCAGUAGGGAAUCUUCGGCAAUGGGGGGAACCCUUACCGAGCAACGCCGCGUGAGUGAAGAAGGUUUUCGGAUCUUAAAGCUCUGUUGUUAAGGAAGCGGUACUUAACCAGAAAGGGACGGCUAACUACGUGCCAGCAGCCGCGGUAAUAC